UGCUGGUUAAAGCCAGCAGUGGGAUACAGGGUGGUCUGCUGCUGGUUAAAGCCAGCAGUAGGAUACAAGGUGGUCUGCUGCUGGUUAACAUAGUGGGAUACAGGGUGGUCUGCUGCUGGUUAACACAGUGGGAUGCAGGGUGGUCUGCUGCUGGUUAACACAGUGGGAUACAGGGUGGUCUGCUGCUGGUUAAAGCCAGUAGUAGGAUGGUCUGCUGCUGGUUAACAGUGGGAUACAGGGUGGUCUGCUGCUGGUUAAAGCCAGUAGUAGGAUGGUCUGCUGCUGGUUAACAUAGUGGGAUACAGGGUGGUCUGCUGCUGGUUAAAGCCAGCAGUGGGAUACAGGGUGGUCUGCUGCUGGUUAACACAGUGGGAUACAGGGUGGUCUGCUGCUGGUUAACACAGUGGGAUGCAGGGUGGUCUGCUGCUGGUUAAAGCCAGCAGUGGGAUGCAGGGUGGUCUGCUGCUCGUUAAAACAGUGGGAUACAGGGUGGUCUGCUGCUGGUUAAAACAGUGGGAUGCAGGGUGGUCUGCUGCUGGUUAAAGCCAGCAGUGGGAUACAGGGUGGUCUGCUGCUGGUUAAAGCC
Oncorhynchus keta (chum salmon) is the source of this 586-nucleotide long non-coding RNA. RefSeq lists it as uncharacterized. Lineage: Eukaryota; Metazoa; Chordata; Actinopteri; Salmoniformes; Salmonidae. The transcript is spliced from 3 exons. The record is from RefSeq and is a predicted model, not a curated record.